CAGCCGCCGCGGUAAUGCGUAGGUGGCAAGCGUUGUCCGGAAUUAUUGGGCGUAAAGGGCUCGCAGGCGGUUUCUUAAGUCUGAUGUGAAAGCCCCCGGCUCAACCGGGGAGGGUCAUUGGAAACUGGGAAACUUGAGUGCAGAAGAGGAGAGUGGAAUUCCACGUGUAGCGGUGAAGUGCGUAGAGAUGUGGAGGAACACCAGUGGCGAAGGCGACUCUCUGGUCUGUAACUGACGCUGAGGAGCGAAAGCGUGGGGAGCGAACAGGAUUAGAUACCCCAGUAGUCCCUGUCUCUUAUAC
RNAcentral lists this ribosomal RNA (301 nucleotides) under uncultured bacterium. Its description in RNAcentral is "partial 16S ribosomal RNA". It matches the Rfam family "Bacterial small subunit ribosomal RNA", at positions 509 to 807 of the family's 1533-position model. The record is from RNAcentral.